UUUUACGGAGAGUUUGAUCCUGGCUCAGGACGAACGCUGGCGGCGUGCUUAACACAUGCAAGUCGAACGAUGAUGCCCAGCUUGCUGGGUGGAUUAGUGGCGAACGGGUGAGUAACACGUGAGUAACCUGCCCCUGAC
Molecule: ribosomal RNA, 138 nt
Filed under: Curtobacterium pusillum
Lineage: Bacteria; Bacillati; Actinomycetota; Actinomycetes; Micrococcales; Microbacteriaceae
Description: partial 16S ribosomal RNA
Rfam family: Bacterial small subunit ribosomal RNA
Source: RNAcentral